UUGGACGCCCCCCCCCCCUCUCCCAUCUUCUUCCUCCUCAAAUCUUUGCAGCCCUCACCACCCAAAACUCUAGCCCCCCCCAUUUCUCCCCCUCCUCCAAGGUGCAGCCCUCCCGUGUGGUUCUCCGUCGUGUGGCUGCGAUCUCAAUUGGAGUUUGGAGGGAGGAAGAAGGAAGGAGGAAGGGAAGAACCUAAGGUGAAUUUGUGAUUAACUUUUGUUGUUUUUGUGCUGCAAUCAAUUGGAUUAUGUGUUUAUCUUUGCGAAUCGGUAGAGGUGCUGUCCAGGAAUUUUGUGAGUGGGUGAACAGCAGUAGUUCUAGGGAUUUCUGGGAAUUUUCGUGGGGUAAUUAGUGGGAUUCAGUGGGAUAAUCAUGUAGAGCUUUGUCAUACCUUUCCAACGAGUACUUAUGCGCUCGAUUCGGAGUUAUAAUUUAGGAGAUAUCGUUGUUUGAAUCCGGGUAUGUUGCUGUCCAAAAAAACAGAUUUUUGAGGUGGAUGAACAACAGUAGUAUUAGCAGUUUCUGGGAAUUUUUCGUGGGUAAUUAGUAUUAACCAGUAUUAUAAUCAUGUAGGGCUUUGUCUUAUCUUUCCAAUGAGUACUUAUGUGCUUGAUUUGGAAUUAUAUUUUAAAAGAUAUCGCUGUUUGAAUCCGGGUAUGUUGCUGUCCAAAAAAACAGAUUUUUCAGGUGGGUGAACAGCAGUAGUAUUAGCAAUUUCUGGGAAUUUUUCGUGGUUAAUUAGUGCUAACCAGUAUGAUAAUCAUGUAUGGCUUUGUCUUAUCUUUCCAAUGAGUACUUAUGCGCUUGAAUUGGAAUUAUAUUUUAAAAGAUAUCGCUGUUUGAAUCCGGGUAUGUCGCUGUCCAAAAGAGAAAAAAACAGAUUACAGGGUUCAUCUUGUGAACUGUUUUGGGCUAAUUAGAUGUUGGAAUUUAAUUAUAAAUUGUAUACAAAACUUGUGGGAAAUUUUAUGUAGAUGCCUCUGGAGUUUUUGGUUGUUACCAAUGCUGUCAUAAUUUUGAAGUUAUGAAAUUAUUAAGCAGCGCCGCUGCAGUUUGGUGGGUGUGGGGAGAGAUGUAACCCGCGGCGGGGUUUGAGUUUGUGCGUAGGUGCGGCGUCGUUUAUGAGCCUGGUUAUGUGAAAUUGGUGCACUAAGUUGUGUGUCAAAAACAGGUGGUGGACUUCCGGAUCGUACUUAGGGAUCUGCCCAAACUUCCGGUAAAGGCAAGUAAAUACAGUGGUGGUUGCUACCGUUUGGGUUGCAUCCUAUUCCCUGACAUUGAGUAUGCAUAAGUUUUAAUUAUGUUAAUCAUUGAAUUCUAUGAUGAAGUUUAUUUGUUUGGAAGUAUUAAUUCUCAAUUGUCUAAUAUUGUGGAUGAUCAUAAUUUGGUAAUGAUAUAUGUGGUUGAUUCCCAUCUUGGAUGAAGUUGAAGUAUUUUUUUGAAUCACGUUAUAUGAAGUGUUGUAGGCAUGACAUGCUCAUCGCAUCAUCCAUCUUGCAUUUUGAAGUUAUGUCGUGAUCUUAUGGUCCGACCGUACCGGUACAUUUUUAGCAUCGUACGUUGCCCGAGGAGGGGUACGAUGCGGCUUCAUAUCCUUAGAGGUAUGAAGGCAGAAGUCAUCCUUGCAUUUGCAGACAUUUGCACUCAUGAGGUAUAUAUAUGAAGAGUGACAUUACUAUGUUACUAUUGUGGUUUCUACCUGCGAGGUGUGGUAGCUAGGAGUGUUGUACGUUGUAUACGUGCUGCACCUUUGUAAUAAGAAGGUUGUGAAAUCAAGUGGUGGUAAAACAAUAUUCUUAUGUGGUUAAACAGUUUGAUAUUAUUUUACUUGCUGAGAUGUGUCAUCUCACUCUUGCAUUACUCAAUGCAGGUACUUGAUACAUGUUGGGAAUGAGGGGAGUAGCAGCACGUCCACUUUCACUCUCAUAAUAGCGCUGCCCAGGCGUAGCCAUGAUUUAAUUAGAAACUUGUUGUCAAAAGAAGUUUAUUUUUUUGCUAGUCGUGCGCACUGGUUAAUUCAGUUCAUGUCGUAUGUUUAACUUCCCUUUGCUAGCCGAUUAAUAAUACUUGGUAUGUUUUUGUCAUGAUAUAUGUUUAUACACUGUUGUCCCCCCCCUCAUUUAUGCAAUUUUGCAAAGGAGAUGCUGCCAAAAUUUUAUAUAGAUGUCAGAAGUGUAGUUCAGUAGCAUUCUGGGGUGUUUGUGGACCCCGGGGCGUUACAGUUGGUAUCAGAGCAUAGGCUUUAGAUUCUACGCAAUUUGAAGAUAAAUUUGACACACUUGCACAUAUAGGAAGGGUAUGGGUUCGUAUAUCUUUCAUAUUAGUACUUUAUUGUAUAGAUGACUAGAACUUCCUUACUCCAAAUUCCUUUAUGGUUUGAUGGGGUACGUCAUUAAUGACGUAAUGCUGGAUAUGAUAUGUUAUUUCUAUUUAAUAUUGGUUUCUUGAUGUGGUUGUUAUUGAAGAUAUUAUGCAAGUGAAGCUACUACUGUACUUGUUUUAUAUACAUAUUGUCAUGAUGUUUUUUUUGAUGCAAUGUUUUCAAAUCUCUGAGCUAUUACUAUCAUAUAUUUCUAUAUGCUUGACUGUGGAUGUUUUUUUCCAAAAGGAUUCUUGGGUUCUAGUACUUGUAGGACCGAUUGUUUAUUGAGCUUGUCUAUAGUGGGUCUAAUCCGACUUGGUGUAGUGUGAAAACACUAUAUAAUGUAGUUUUAUGGUGUUGUUGAGUUUGAUUGACUGUUGGGUUACAACCCAACUUAUCAAUGUAAUAUUUCCAUGGGUGCAAUGCUUUGCGCCUCACUUUUUUGGCUAGUGUGGCUACUUGCUAACUUGAUCUUAGUAUAAAAUUGGUUUGUCUCUAUAGAGCAAAGGCAACAUUGUAAUGUCUAUGAAAUCUUGAGACUGGUAGAACUCAAGUGAAUUUGUAAGAUGACGUAGAUUGAUAAGUCCAACCAUGUUUACCUGAUAGGUUUUCUUAUUAUGUGCAACCUUAUUUUUUUCAACAAUAAAUAGGGUGGUUUCAAGUGGAUUUUAUGUCGUGCAUGUUUUCCUUCUAUGGUUUGUUUCAAUAGCCAUAAAGGCUAUGCAUAAUUUUUAGUUGUUGCAGGCUAGUCAUGUGGACGAUAUUGACAACCCAUUUUAUUUUUUUUAUUUGCCAACAUUGUAUGGUAGUUUGAUUUUUUUUUAUGAUCAGUUUCUCUAUGCAUGCUUGUUGAAUCAUUAUUUGGACCGCUUUAUCUUAAACGAAGUCAAUGCUUAACUGGGAGUUGCUUAUGUUUGUUAGUCAUCUAUCUCUUUAAUGAUGGGGUUGUUGCAUCGGAUUGAGAUUUUUCUUAUAUGAAUGAUGGUUUGAUAGAUCAUGUAUGUCUACUACUUUGAAUGCAUCCUGUGAUAUCACGAGGUACAAAUUGUUCAAGUGCAGUAAUAGUAGGUUUUGUUGUAUGUGAGGUUAAUCAAGGUAGUUUGGUUAUGUGGAUUGUCUUAUUGACAUCCAAUUACUCCUGAUGAGCAUAGUAUCGUGUUGCUAUUUUAGUAUUGAAAGUAAUAUUUAUGAAGCUUUUGCAUGAGUCUGUGUCAAGAAGUACAUUAGUUUUUCUUGUUGUUAUCCCUCCAUUGCUUUAUGAGUAUUGCAAAUUUUAUCUCUUUUGAGAGGAGGAAAAGACGUUACAUGACAUGAGCACCAUUUGCUUCACGUCAACAGAAUAGUUGUGGAGAGCUCUAAUAGUUGGAUUCUAGUGUAAUAACAACCAUGUCUUAUAGUGCUAGAGACGGGUAUGUCAGGUGUUUCAUACAUUGUCGAUACAUGGAUGUUUGACCUUAGUGGCAUUAACAAACGAGGUUGUUUAAUUCGUUGAUUGUUGUGCUUAGUGUUCUAACCUAUUAGGUAAAGUGUUGCUUAAAGGCUUUGGGGAGUUGCAUCCCCAUUUGGUAGUGGAAAAUCCUAGUGUUGAUCGCACCUGCCAAUGCCUUGGGUUUUAUUUUAUAUUGUUUUUUAUUAUGGGUAAGGUGUUGUUUGGUUUUGGGAGUCAUUUUAAAUUAGUUGGAGGCUGAAUCAGGCUUCACUUAUCUAGAAUGUUUUGUAGUAGGCUUCUUCAUCUUUGCAUAGGAUGCUCAAUCACCCAGUUUGGUCUAAACAUUGGAGAGUUAUGGGUUUCCUAUAGCAGCCUUAAUUUUGUACGAAAGUAUAGACAUUGAAGACGGUAAAUUUUGGUUUUUGUUGGAUUAUGAAAGUUUUAGUAAUUUCAUGAUCUUUCCAAAGAUUAUUGGUUUGUAAUUUUCAUUGCAUAUAAUUGGAGUUAGGCUACUCUGAAGUUGUUACACCGUUGUGUCUGAACUUUAGGUGUCGUUAAAACCACCAAUAAAUCGACCGUGUUCUGAUAGUUUCAGAGCCCAAAUUUGGGAAUUCUCUUUAAGAAAAACUUUUAGUUUUUCUAAGUACCUUUUAAUGGGUAUUUACUUGUAAUUGCCUAUUAAAUAGAUUGGGAGAGGUGGUUGUCCGGAUAUAAGUCGAAUCUCUGAUGUGCAGUAUCUCAGGUUGAGUUUAGCUGUAGGUCAUGCAGAGUUGAGGGUUAUAAAGAUAAAUUUGGGUGCAACUUUAUUGCAAAAGUCAUGGACAAUUUCCAAACUUUUCCAACGCAUGUUCGUUGUAGUUUUAAGUUAAGUAUAGCAGGAGUUAUAGGAUUUUGAAUUUUAGUUGUCCAAUAUUUCUAUCCUAUCAGUUUUGCAACAAAGCAGUUGCAUUGUUUUAUCGGUUUGGAAACCAAUUCUGAGACACUCAUUAUAAUAAAAGUUUUAGGGAAUGUUAUAACCUUUCCAAUGAGUUUGUAUUUGCAAAAUUUUGUUAGAUGCAGAUUGGGUGAGUUAUUGGAUGGAUAUAUAUGCAUAGUAUAAUUAAAAAAAGUGUUCUUCGAUGGAAUGAUAUAAUGUAUAGAAUAUGCUUGGAUGGAUAUAUGGGCAGGCGUAGUAUGCUUAAAUCGAUUCUUGCUUCCAUGAUGUGAGAUAAGGCUUAAAAUGAUUUAAAAAAGUUAGCAUAUGGCUUCUAUCUUUAUGUUGGCUCUGAGUGUCUCGUAAUGAAGAACCUAAAGUUAUUAGUCCUUCGAUGAACGCUUAAUCUUAGAAGAGUAUAGAACCUGAAUAAAUCUAUUGCUUGCUGUUUGGGACUACAUGACCAGUUUUGGUUAUGCAGCUAGUUCAAUGAAUUAAACCAUGUUUUCUGUAGAGGUGUUGUAUAUAAAAGUUGUAGCCAACUUCUUCAUCUUACUUGUGUAAAAUUUCAUGACCAUAGGUCUAGUAGUUUGGGAGUUAUGAUUUUCUCAAGUCUAGUCUUGGAAUCUGUCCAGAUUCUGUACAGAUUUUGAAACUGACCUUGUUUGCCCAAGUUAAACUUUGAAUCAGUUCUUAUAAAUUAUAAAGAAGUGGAGUACUUUCCUUAAGAUUUCCAACAAAUAUUGGAUCACCCUUUUUGGUGACCUAUAAGUUAAGCUACAGCUGUUUUAAGUGGAAUCUUUGAAUCUGUCCAAAUUUGGACAGCAAAGCCUUUCUUAUGUCUUUUGACCAUGAUAUGCAUUGAAUUAACCUGAUAUGUUUAUAAAUGAAAUAUAGACAAUUUUACUGGCUUUCAAAAAAGUCUAGGAGCGCCUAAAUUGGAUGACUGAGACUCCAAUUAUGGAUUUUUUUAAGUGAGUAGUUGAAUUCUGUCCAAGUCUGGACAAAAUUUACGUUUCGCAUUGUUUGUCCUUUCUAAGUGUCAAAUCUUGUGGUGAUGAUAAUACCAAGGGUAUAGUGGACUUUGUAAGCUUUCCAUAAAGUCCUAGUUUACUACUGUUGGAUGCAUACUUUGUGAGUUUAUGAGCAAAACAAUUAACCGUUCUGCUGAUGUCUAGAAAUAUGCAAGCAUUAAAUUGAUCUUUUGAAGUUACUCUUGUUUGGAUAGGUUUGGUUUAGGAUAUUGGAGCACAGUAUGUAUUGCUUUCAUUAUAUAUAUUCAUUGAAGUACUUGCAUGUGUCAAUGUUGAUUUGGUGUCAGGAAAACUUUGUCCGGGUUAUAUAGGACUGUCUAUUAUCUUAGCCCGAGUUGGCAGCUUGGCUUAGCACAUGCAAUUGUCGGAGACUAUGAUCAGAGUACGCCAUGUAUUCCAUGUCUCUAUGUUGAGAAAGUAUUUGCGGAAUCCAUAUCAAUAAUCGAGCUAGAGUCGAUUCCCAUGUAGCAAGACCUGACUCUAGAGUGUCGUCUGCUGCGUAUCCUAGAAUCCUUGAAGCUCGAGGAGCUGAUGCGGCAGAAGUACCCCGAACUUUUCGUUAUGGGGUGAGUUUUUGUUGUCGCUGAUCUUUCCUUGUCGUUCCGAUAGAAGCGUCGGAAUUCGAGGUCGAAUUCUUUUUAAGGAGGGUAGAGUGUGAUACCCGGUUUGCAAAGAAGAGAAGUUGAAGGUUAUUCUUUUUGUUUGUUUUUUCUCUUAUUCGGGUGUCGCGCUUUGGGGAUUUAGAAUUUAUGGAAAACAUUCACCAGUAUAGCAGUAGAGUGGUUGGUCGGGAGCUGUCGUGCAAGCGAGUUGGGCCGCGAAUCGCAAUCCGGCCCACUAACCCUCCCCUAACCCUAGCCCCCCCCCCCCCUUUUUCCCCCUUGGGUUGUUGCAGCCGCCCCUUCCCCUCCCCUUUCUCUUGGACGCCCCCCCCCCCCUCUCCCAUCUUCUUCCUCCUCAAAUCUUUGCAGCCCUCACCACCCAAAACCCUAGCCCCCCCCCAUUUCUCCCCCUCCUCCAAGGUGCAGCCCUCCCGUGUGGUUCUCCGUCGUGUGGCUGCGAUCUCAAUUGGAGUUUGGAGGGAGGAAGAAGGAAGAAGGGAAGAACCUAAGGUGAAUUUGUGAUUAACUUUUGUUGUUUUUGUGCUGCAAUCAAUUGGAUUAUGUGUUUAUCUUUGCGAAUCGGUAGAGGUGCUGUCCAGGAAUUUUGUGAGUGGGUGAACAGCAGUAGUUCUAGGGAUUUCUGGGAAUUUUCGUGGGGUAAUUAGUGGGAUUCAGUGGGAUAAUCAUGUAGAGCUUUGUCAUACCUUUCCAACGAGUACUUAUGCGCUCGAUUCGGAGUUAUAAUUUAGGAGAUAUCGUUGUUUGAAUCCGGGUAUGUUGCUGUCCAAAAAAACAGAUUUUUGAGGUGGAUGAACAACAGUAGUAUUAGCAGUUUCUGGGAAUUUUUCGUGGGUAAUUAGUAUUAACCAGUAUUAUAAUCAUGUAGGGCUUUGUCUUAUCUUUCCAAUGAGUACUUAUGUGCUUGAUUUGGAAUUAUAUUUUAAAAGAUAUCGCUGUUUGAAUCCGGGUAUGUUGCUGUCCAAAAAAACAGAUUUUUCAGGUGGGUGAACAGCAGUAGUAUUAGCAAUUUCUGGGAAUUUUUCGUGGUUAAUUAGUGCUAACCAGUAUGAUAAUCAUGUAUGGCUUUGUCUUAUCUUUCCAAUGAGUACUUAUGCGCUUGAAUUGGAAUUAUAUUUUAAAAGAUAUCGCUGUUUGAAUCUGGGUAUGUCGCUGUCCAAAAGAGAAAAAAACAGAUUACAGGGUUCAUCUUGUGAACUGUUUUGGGCUAAUUAGAUGUUGGAAUUUAAUUAUAAAUUGUAUACAAAACUUGUGGGAAAUUUUAUGUAGAUGCCUCUGGAGUUUUUGGUUGUUACCAAUGCUGUCAUAAUUUUGAAGUUAUGAAAUUAUUAAGCAGCGCCGCUGCAGUUUGGUGGGUGUGGGGAGAGAUGUAACCCGCGGCGGGGUUUGAGUUUGUGCGUAGGUGCGGCGUCGUUUAUGAGCCUGGUUAUGUGAAAUUGGUGCACUAAGUUGUGUGUCAAAAACAGGUGGUGGACUUCCGGAUCGUACUUAGGGAUCUGCCCAAACUUCCGGUAAAGGCAAGUAAAUACAGUGGUGGUUGCUACCGUUUGGGUUGCAUCCUAUUCCCUGACAUUGAGUAUGCAUAAGUUUUAAUUAUGUUAAUCAUUGAAUUCUAUGAUGAAGUUUAUUUGUUUGGAAGUAUUAAUUCUCAAUUGUCUAAUAUUGUGGAUGAUCAUAAUUUGGUAAUGAUAUAUGUGGUUGAUUCCCAUCUUGGAUGAAGUUGAAGUAUUUUUUUGAAUCACGUUAUAUGAAGUGUUGUAGGCAUGACAUGCUCAUCGCAUCAUCCAUCUUGCAUUUUGAAGUUAUGUCGUGAUCUUAUGGUCCGACCGUACCGGUACAUUUUUAGCAUCGUACGUUGCCCGAGGAGGGGUACGAUGCGGCUUCAUAUCCUUAGAGGUAUGAAGGCAGAAGUCAUCCUUGCAUUUGCAGACAUUUGCACUCAUGAGGUAUAUAUAUGAAGAGUGACAUUACUAUGUUACUAUUGUGGUUUCUACCUGCGAGGUGUGGUAGCUAGGAGUGUUGUACGUUGUAUACGUGCUGCACCUUUGUAAUAAGAAGGUUGUGAAAUCAAGUGGUGGUAAAACAAUAUUCUUAUGUGGUUAAACAGUUUGAUAUUAUUUUACUUGCUGAGAUGUGUCAUCUCACUCUUGCAUUACUCAAUGCAGGUACUUGAUACAUGUUGGGAAUGAGGGGAGUAGCAGCACGUCCACUUUCACUCUCAUAAUAGCGCUGCCCAGGCGUAGCCAUGAUUUAAUUAGAAACUUGUUGUCAAAAGAAGUUUAUUUUUUUGCUAGUCGUGCGCACUAGUUAAUUCAGUUCAUGUCGUAUGUUUAACUUCCCUUUGCUAGCCGAUUAAUAAUACUUGGUAUGUUUUUGUCAUGAUAUAUGUUUAUACACUGUUGUCCCCCCCCCCUCCUCAUUUAUGCAAUUUUGCAAAGGAGAUGCUGCCAAAAUUUUAUAUAGAUGUCAGAAGUGUAGUUCAGUAGCAUUCCGG
Molecule: long non-coding RNA, 8850 nt
Filed under: Zea mays
Lineage: Eukaryota; Viridiplantae; Streptophyta; Magnoliopsida; Poales; Poaceae
Description: long non-coding RNA (ZMAY_LNC005367)
Source: RNAcentral